UACAGAGGUCUCAAGCGUUGUUCGGAUUCAUUGGGCGUAAAGGGUGCGUAGGCGGCGCGGUAAGUCGGGUGUGAAAUCUCGGAGCUUAACUCCGAAACUGCAUUCGAUACUGCCGUGCUUGAGGACUGGAGAGGAGACUGGAAUUUACGGUGUAGCGGUGAAAUGCGUAGAUAUCAGGAGGAACACCGGUGGCGAAGGCGCCACUCUGGGCCGAAACUGACGCUGAGGAGCGAGAGCGUGGGUAGCAAACAGG
This 253-nucleotide ribosomal RNA is filed under the name uncultured bacterium. RNAcentral describes it as "partial 16S ribosomal RNA". It matches the Rfam family "Bacterial small subunit ribosomal RNA", at positions 524 to 776 of the family's 1533-position model. The record is from RNAcentral.